RNAcentral lists this signal recognition particle RNA (299 nucleotides) under Saimiri boliviensis boliviensis (Bolivian squirrel monkey). RNAcentral describes it as "Metazoan signal recognition particle RNA (ENSSBOG00000005014.1)". It matches the Rfam family "Metazoan signal recognition particle RNA". Rfam says of the family: The signal recognition particle (SRP) is a universally conserved ribonucleoprotein. It is involved in the co-translational targeting of proteins to membranes. Lineage: Eukaryota; Metazoa; Chordata; Mammalia; Primates; Cebidae. The record is from RNAcentral.
GCCGGUUGCAGUGGUGUGUGCCUGUAGUCCCAGCUACUUGGGAGGCUGAGGUGGGAGGAUCGCUUGAGCCCAGGAGUUCUGGGCUGCAGUGUGCUAUGCUGAUUGGGUGUCCGCACUAAGUUUGGAAUCAAUAUGGUGACCUCCUGGGAGUGGGGGACCACCAGGUUGCCUAAGGAGGGGUGAACCAGCCUGGGUCGGAAACGGAGCAGGUCAAAACUCCCAUGCUGAUCAGUAGUGGGAUGGUGCCUGUGAAUAGCCACCGCACUCCAGCCUGGGCAACAAAGCAAGACCCCGUUGCU